This 73-nucleotide transfer RNA is filed under the name Saccoglossus kowalevskii. RNAcentral describes it as "tRNA-Tyr". It matches the Rfam family "tRNA". Rfam says of the family: Transfer RNA (tRNA) molecules are approximately 80 nucleotides in length. Their secondary structure includes four short double-helical elements and three loops (D, anti-codon, and T loops). Further hydrogen bonds mediate the characteristic L-shaped molecular structure. tRNAs have two regions of fundamental functional importance: the anti-codon, which is responsible for specific mRNA codon recognition, and the 3' end, to which the tRNAs corresponding amino acid is attached (by aminoacyl-tRNA synthetases). tRNAs cope with the degeneracy of the genetic code in two manners: having more than one tRNA (with a specific anti-codon) for a particular amino acid; and 'wobble' base-pairing, i.e. permitting non-standard base-pairing at the 3rd anti-codon position. Lineage: Eukaryota; Metazoa; Hemichordata; Enteropneusta; Harrimaniidae. The record is from RNAcentral.
CCUUCGAUAGCUCAGUUGGUAGAGCGGAGGACUGUAGAUCCUUAGGUCGCUGGUUCGAAUCCGGCUCGAAUGA